Non-coding RNA from Pelobates cultripes (western spadefoot toad), 186 nucleotides. The record is from the annotation of a GenBank genome assembly. NCBI's taxonomy places the organism in Eukaryota, Metazoa, Chordata, Amphibia, Anura, Pelobatidae.
GGGACACUGGGAGACAUUGAGGGACACUGGGAGACUUGGGGACACUGAGGCAUGGGGACACUGGGAGACUUGGGGAUGCUGGGAGACUUGGGGGUGCUUGAAGUGUCCCCUAGUAUCUCAGUGUCCCCAUGUCUCCCAGUCAGUGUCCCCAUGUCUCCCAGUGUCCCCAUUUCUCUCACUGUCUGU